UGACUGUCCUUUACCCAUGUGUGC
This 24-nucleotide unclassified non-coding RNA is filed under the name Mus musculus (house mouse). Its description in RNAcentral is "oocyte_clustered_small_RNA9247". Lineage: Eukaryota; Metazoa; Chordata; Mammalia; Rodentia; Muridae. The record is from RNAcentral.